GUCGAGCGGACCGUAAGCGUUUUAUUACAUUUACGGUCAGCGGCGGACGGGUGAGUAACGCGUGAGUAACCUGCCUUAAAGUUUGGGAUAGCCUUGAGAAAUCAAGGGUAAUACCCGAAUAAUGCCAAUAGUUGAAAGACUUAUUGGUUAAAGAUGGCCUCUGCUUGCAAGCUAUCGCUUUAUGAGGGGCUCGCGUCCCAUUAGCUAGUUUGUGAGGUAAAGGCUCACAAAGGCUAUGAUGGGUAGCCGGCUUGAGAGGGUGACCGGCCACGCUGGGACUGAGAACGGCCCAGGCUCCUACGGGAGGCAGCAGGCUAGAAAUUUGACCAAUGGACGCAAGUCUGAGCCAGCGACACCACUUGGGGGAUUUGAAGGCUUUCGGGUCGUAAACCCCUGUCAAAAAGGAAGAUGGUCUGGAAGUUCAAUAAACUUACAGAUUGACAGUACUUUUAAUAGGAAGCCACGGCUAAUUCCGUGCCAGCAGCCGCGGUAAAACGGAAGUGGCAAGCGUUGUCCCGAAAUCACUGGGCGUAAAGCGGGCGUAGGCGGGUAAAUAAGUUGGAUGUGAAAACCAGCUGCUCAACGGCUGGCCUGCAUCCAAAACUGUGUACCUUGAGUCUGACAGA
This 626-nucleotide ribosomal RNA is filed under the name uncultured bacterium. RNAcentral describes it as "bacterial SSU rRNA". It matches the Rfam family "Bacterial small subunit ribosomal RNA", at positions 61 to 655 of the family's 1533-position model. The record is from RNAcentral.